This 86-nucleotide transfer RNA is filed under the name Rhizoctonia solani AG-1 IB. Its description in RNAcentral is "tRNA-Leu". It matches the Rfam family "tRNA". Rfam says of the family: Transfer RNA (tRNA) molecules are approximately 80 nucleotides in length. Their secondary structure includes four short double-helical elements and three loops (D, anti-codon, and T loops). The record is from RNAcentral. Lineage: Eukaryota; Fungi; Basidiomycota; Agaricomycetes; Cantharellales; Ceratobasidiaceae.
GGCAUGAUGGCCGAGCGGUCUAAGGCGACGCACUCAAGUAUUGCGUUGGGAUUUAUCCCGCGUGCGUUCAAAUCGCACUCAUGUCA